AACUACCGCAUCCCCAGUGAGAGGGCUGUAUUGUCCCAAGCCAGUGCCACGCGUUCUGACAGGUGAUGUGCUUUGGCCAAAUGCACUUCAGAGAAAGUCACACCUGCCCUUGCGAGCAAAGACCUCGGGAGCCGUUCUCGUGUUUAUGCCGAGGGGAAGGUAUGUCCUAGCUAGGGGUUGUUUGUUCGUUCGGCCUGCACCCCAGAAUGAAGACGUCUGGAGACCCAGCCACAACCGGCAGCAGCUGACAGACUGAUGACCAGAACUGGCUCUGGAAGGCUGCUUCUCCCCACUUUCUGGACACUGGCAGUGCUUGGCGUGUGAAGAACUUUUCACUAAAGCUUGCAGGUAAAUGAUGGGACAGUAAGUGAAGGAGCUAAUUCUAGGCCUGCUCUGCAGAUCCUUCCCUCUGGGAACUUGGUGAAGCCACUCCACAGCUCUGAGACUCAGUGUCACAUUCUGUCAGUGUGAAUAAUGGUCUCCUUGUGAUAAAGUUUUUUGAGGAAAAAUAAAAUAAUAAUUACAGCUAACA
Molecule: long non-coding RNA, 532 nt
Filed under: Oryctolagus cuniculus (rabbit)
Lineage: Eukaryota; Metazoa; Chordata; Mammalia; Lagomorpha; Leporidae
Description: lncRNA (ENSOCUG00000034579.1)
Source: RNAcentral